UUUUUUACAACCCGGGAUUGCCUUAGUAACGGCGAGUGAAGCGGCAAAAGCUCAAAUUUGAAAUCUGGUACCUUCGGUGCCCGAGUUGUAAUUUGGAGAGGGCAACUUUGGGGCCGUUCCUUGUCUAUGUUCCUUGGAACAGGACGUCAUAGAGGGUGAGAAUCCCGUGUGGUGAGGAGUGCGGUUCUUUGUAAAGUGCCUUCGAAGAGUCGAGUUGUUUGGGAAUGCAGCUCUAAGUGGGUGGUAAAUUCCAUCUAAAGCUAAAUAUUUGGGGCGGAAGGAGACCGAUAGCCGAAACAAGUACAGUGGAUGGAAAGAUGAAAAGAACUUUGAAAAGAGAGUGAAAAAGUACGUGAAAUUGUUGAAAGGGAAGGGCAUUUGAUCAGACAUGGUGUUUUGUGCCCUCUGCUCCUUGUGGGUAGGGGAAUCUCGCAUUUCACUGGGCCAGCAUCAGUUUUGGUGGCAGGAUAAAUCCAUAGGAAUGUAGCUUGCCUCGGUAAGUAUUAUAGCCUGUGGGAAUACUGCCAGCUGGGACUGAGGACUGCGACGUAAGUCAAGGAUGCUGGCAUAAUGGUUAUAUGCCGCCCGUCUUGAACCCCGGGACCA
Molecule: ribosomal RNA, 606 nt
Filed under: Saccharomyces cf. cerevisiae/paradoxus
Lineage: Eukaryota; Fungi; Ascomycota; Saccharomycetes; Saccharomycetales; Saccharomycetaceae
Description: LSU rRNA
Rfam family: Eukaryotic large subunit ribosomal RNA
Source: RNAcentral